GUAGGUGGCAAGCGUUGUCCGGAAUUAUUGGGCGUAAAGCGCGCGCAGGCGGUUCUUUAAGUCUGAUGUGAAAGCCCACGGCUCAACCGUGGAGGGUCAUUGGAAACUGGAGAACUUGAGUACAGAAGAGGAAAGCGGAAUUCCACGUGUAGCGGUGAAAUGCGUAGAGAUGUGGAGGAACACCGGUGGCGAAGGCGGCUUUCUGGUCUGUAACUGACGCUGAGGCGCGAAAGCGUGGGGAGCAAACAGGGAUUAGAUACCCUGGUAGUCCACGCCGUAAACGAUGAGUGCUAAGUGUUAGGGGGUUUCCCGCCCCUUAGUGCUGCAGCUAACGCAUUAAGCACUCCGCCUGGGGAGUACGGCCGCAAGGCUG
Molecule: ribosomal RNA, 373 nt
Filed under: uncultured organism
Description: partial 16S ribosomal RNA
Rfam family: Bacterial small subunit ribosomal RNA
Source: RNAcentral